This 405-nucleotide ribosomal RNA is filed under the name uncultured soil bacterium. RNAcentral describes it as "bacterial SSU rRNA". It matches the Rfam family "Bacterial small subunit ribosomal RNA", at positions 509 to 916 of the family's 1533-position model. The record is from RNAcentral.
CAGCAGCCGCGGUAAUACGGAGGGUGCAAGCGUUAUCCGGAUUCACUGGGUUUAAAGGGUGCGUAGGCGGAACAGAAAGUCCGUUGUGAAAUCUCCGAGCUUAACUCGGAAAUUGCGGUGGAUACUAUUGUUCUUGAAUACUGUUGAGGUUAGCGGAAUAUGUCAUGUAGCGGUGAAAUGCAUAGAUAUGACAUAGAACACCAAUUGCGAAGGCAGCUGGCUAAACAGAUAUUGACGCUGAGGCACGAAAGCGUGGGGAUCAAACAGGAUUAGAUACCCUGGUAGUCCACGCCCUAAACGAUGAUUACUCGACAUUUGCGAUACACAGCAAGUGUCUGAGCGAAAGCAUUAAGUAAUCCACAUGGGAAGUACGACCGCAAGGUUGAAACUCAAAGGAAUUGACGG